RNAcentral lists this non-coding RNA (42 nucleotides) under Trypanosoma brucei brucei. The record is from RNAcentral. Lineage: Eukaryota; Euglenozoa; Kinetoplastea; Trypanosomatida; Trypanosomatidae.
AACUAUAACAAGGCAGAUAGAGCAUACCUACAUAGAUAAUUU